This 499-nucleotide ribosomal RNA is filed under the name uncultured bacterium. Its description in RNAcentral is "partial 16S ribosomal RNA". It matches the Rfam family "Bacterial small subunit ribosomal RNA", at positions 28 to 507 of the family's 1533-position model. The record is from RNAcentral.
GACGAACGCUGGCGGCGUGCCUAAUACAUGCAAGUCGAGCGAAGUUUUUCUGGUGCUUGCACUAGAAAAACUUAGCGGCGAACGGGUGAGUAACACGUAAAGAACCUGCCUCAUAGACUGGGACAACUAUUGGAAACGAUAGCUAAUACCGGAUAACAGUAUUUCUCGCAUGAGAGAUAUUUAAAAGUUGGUUAUGCUAACACUAUGAGAUGGCUUUGCGGUGCAUUAGCUAGUUGGUGGGGUAAAGGCCCACCAAGGCGACGAUGCAUAGCCGACCUGAGAGGGUGAUCGGCCACACUGGGACUGAGACACGGCCCAGACUCCUACGGGAGGCAGCAGUAGGGAAUCUUCCGCAAUGGGCGAAAGCCUGACGGAGCAACGCCGCGUGAGUGAAGAAGGAUUUCGGUUCGUAAAGCUCUGUUGUUAGGGAAGAAUGGAUAUGUAGUAACUAUACGUGUAAGAGACGGUACCUAACCAGAAAGCCACGGCUAACUACGUG